CCUACGGGGGGCAGCAGUGAGGAAUAUUGGUCAAUGGCCGGAAGGCUGAACCAGCCAUGCCGCGUGAAGGUCAGUGCCCUAUGGGCGUUAAACUUCUUUUGUGCGGGAGCAAUAAUGGUCACGUGUGGCCAGACGAGAGUACCGUACGAAUAAGCAUCGGCUAACUCCGUGCCAGCAGCCGCGGUAAUACGGGGGAUGCAAGCGUUAUCCGGCUUUAUUGGGUUUAAAGGGUGCGUAGGCUGGGAGGUAAGUCAGCGGUGAAAUGCCCCCGCUCAACGGGGUGAAGUGCCAUUGAUACUGCCUGGCUGGAAGGCGGAUGCCGUGGGAGGAAUGUGUGGUGUAGCGGUGAAAUGCAUAGAUAUCACACAGAACACCGAUUGCGAAGGCAUCUCACGAAUCCGCGAUUGACGCUGAUGCACGAAAGCGUGGGUAUCAAACAGGAUUAGAUACCCCAGUAGUC
Molecule: ribosomal RNA, 460 nt
Filed under: uncultured bacterium
Lineage: Bacteria
Description: partial 16S ribosomal RNA
Rfam family: Bacterial small subunit ribosomal RNA
Source: RNAcentral